CACCAUCUGUUCCCCUCUUAGGAUCCCUGGGGCAGAUGAUAGGUGAACCCCACAUCCCAGACACAUGGCCACCAAAGAUAUUCUUGCUUUUUUAAUGUUUAUCAAGUUCCUCCGCAGACAACAGAAACCAGAAAGUGAUCCGCUGCCAGCGACAGGGAGACACACAACUGGUCCUUAUUCUAAAGACCCGACCCAGCCUGGAAUGGGGCCCGGCGAGGAGUUCUUGCGCCGGCCGCGGGGACUGGGCGGUAAUGAGCCGCUAGUCUCGGAAGGUGGUGCUGUUGGGUGUGAGGGGAGAUCCGGCUUGCGCUGAAACAGCGAGCGGCGUGCAAGGAGGAAGCCGCGAUUUCCAAGGCGGAUUCCCU
RNAcentral lists this long non-coding RNA (365 nucleotides) under Homo sapiens (human). RNAcentral describes it as "non-protein coding lnc-PLAT-1:7". The record is from RNAcentral. Lineage: Eukaryota; Metazoa; Chordata; Mammalia; Primates; Hominidae.